GUCGUAAUGUUUAUUGUAGUUGUUGGUAUGACAAGAAUACUAGUUUUGCAAAAUACUUUUUGUUAGUAUUAGCACAGAAGCCAAUUGUUUUGAAGGCAUGUAGUUUAGUACAAGUUACAAUGGAUCUUUUGGCCAAGGGAGAAUGUUUGAAGAAUGCGCCAAAAUCUUUCGUAUUUUAUUGGCAAAUUGGAGACGAAACAAUAAUCAACUUCAUGACAAUGAAUUAAACGAAAACUUGGAAGAUUUGAUUUUACCAAGCAAUGAAGACUGGCGUUAUCGAGUCUAUUAUCAACUGGUUGAAUUACAAAGAGAAUCUGGUGCCAUUUUUAUAAAAAACAGGGUCAACGAAACUAGAUUGGAAACUGAAACAAAGUUAGAAGUGAGACGUAAGAAAAAUGAGUGGGAAUGGGAGCCACAGAGAUACGGAUAUAGUUUUAAGGCUAAGCCUAGGCAACAAGAAGGAUUGAAAGGAGGAUCAUCGACUAUCGUCGAUGGUUCGAUGAUAGAAAUGUGCAUCGAGCCAGGUUGGCGCCUUAACGAUAUUUUAUUGGCGGUGAAGGUCCUUCGAAAAACUAGUCCACCUCCAGUAUAUUCAGAUGAGGCUGAGAUGCGUCGUGUAUUCGGGCUUGUUUAUGAUGUUUUUAGAUAUAAAAAAAUAUUCACUCGAGCUUUGGAAGAUAUAGGUUUUUGGCAACGUAACAGGGCGAUCAAGAACGAAGAAAAGAUCGUUUGGUUGUUAUUAUAUGACAUGCAAGGAAGAAAAUUUUCGAAACCGCGAUUUGAUAACACUACCUUUGAAGAACGUGAAAAGAUCUUUAAGGCUGCUGGAUUGACGGAUAUCGACCACGCUCUUUCGGAGAUGAAAAUCCAUCUUGCCGCAAGCAUUUCGCGGCUACGUAUUCGCGGUUCUGCCCUCAAACUUGAUGAAUUGCUACCGAGUCAUUUACGCGACAUCGAAGGUGUCACUUGGGGCGUACAAACGGCUGUCGCUUCUGGAUGGAUAAACACCUUGAAAUUUGUCAACAAGGAAGAAUUUCUAAAAGAAAUGUCGGAAUUGAAGUUGAAAUAUUGCGAAACAAAAAAAGAAUUGAUAGAACUUGAAGAAAAUGAGUUUGCAUUCGAUCCUAUUUGCCCGAAAAUAAUUUAUUUGCACGACAGCAAGCGGGAAAUGCUGGCUGUUUCCAGGCUCGUUUGUAAUCAUCGUUUUGUAUUUUUAGAGAGAUCAUUGUGCUUGGGUGCGGCAACAUUGGCACAGGUAAUCCGUAACUGUAGAUUCUAUGGCCCGGUGAUUUUAACGCAUUCACUUGCACCUCGACAUACCGGAUAUCUGGCCGGACUAUUGGCCGAUAUUGAAUACGCUGGUAAACUUUUGGUCUUCGGAGCUGGUGAUCGUCGUUGCGAGUACGAAAACUAUCUAAAAGAUCUUGAUGUCACAUUGCAACAAUGUCGCGUUUUUUCCGAAAAAUACGUGUCUCAUCUAUCGACGAUCGAGACAGAGAGAGCAACUGUAGUGCUGGCAGUUCCAACGUGUACUUAUACGGGUGUCCGAGAUAUCGUCGAUCUUGCAGUAGCACGAGGAGGAGAUGUAGAUCUUCUUGAAUCGUUGACGAAUAAUUACGUUCACAAUGUUCAUAAUAAUGACAAUGAUGACAAUAAUAAAUAUUACAAAAAUCAGGAACAAUGGCAUAGUUUCUUAUCCGAUCAAAUGUCCACUUUGAAAUAUGCUUUGACCAGGCCGAAUGUACAAUUUCUCAUAUACGAAGUACACACAAUUUUACCAUCAGAAACAACGCAAAUGGUUCGGGAAGUGGUAGAGUGCGUUAAUCAGAUGGCUAAGGAAAAAUAUAUUCAUGAAAAUCCGAAAAAAGCUCAAAAAGAAAUGUCAAAAUUGGCAAAAAUGGACGAGGAUUCGCAAAAAAAUGAUAAUAUCUCGAUAAAUACUUCAAAUAUUAUUAUUCCAGAUACCGAUCUCUUCGAAGUAGGCAACAUUGAUGACAUUUACGGACAAAAUGUUAGCCACAUGCUGGAUCCAGGAUGUUUUCUCGCGAUAAUAAAACGAAAAGAAAUGAUGCAAUUUGAUUCGUUGUUCAUGAUCAAAGUGGCAGAAUCGAAAGAUCUAUUCGGUAAUUCGAAAGCGCAACAUUCGAAACACGAACUAAUUCUGAACCGAGGAAUACAAACCUCGCAAUCAAGCACACGAAAACGAGCAAAACGUAUCAAGGUGGAAAUAGACCGAUUAAUGGCGCAUACGUAUUCCUCGUUAUCAAAAACCGGACAAGAAAAUCAAAUUUGUCCACGACAUAAACAUUGCUCCAAUUGGAGUGAAGGAAAUGAGUAUCAGUUCAAGUUUAAAGCGUGGCGAAAAGAAAAAAGAAAUGUGUCUCAUAAACCCUUAUACGUUUCUUCAUCGCGACAUAAGGAAUUACAAGCGAUACGUAAAAUAUUUUCGGCCCGAUCAGAAAGUAAUGCAUCUACUUCACAUGACAUACCGAAACACGAUAAAUCUUCUAUAUUGACUAAUUUGCUCAGCAUUGAAUCUCUGCCACGACAUAUAAACUGUAUCGCUUGGAUAAAGGGCCAUCGGACAAAGCCUCGAUGAAAGAAGAUGACGUUCUUUACGCAUUGAAAGCGAUGCACUAUAUCAGACGAAUAGAAAGCAAAGCGGCAGAAAUGUACAGAUUGCGUUUCAUCUAUGGUUUCCUUCAUUUAUAUAUUGGUCAGGAAGCAAUAGCCACUGGUAUGAAACCGGCGAUAUCGGAAAAAGACGCUUUGAUCACAUCUUAUCGGUGUCAUGGAUUUGCUGUGGUACUUGGCAUUUCGGCACGACACAUUUUUGCGGAAUUAAUGGGUCGAACAACUGGA
RNAcentral lists this unclassified non-coding RNA (2862 nucleotides) under Apis florea (little honeybee). Its description in RNAcentral is "uncharacterized LOC100871303, transcript variant X6". The record is from RNAcentral. Lineage: Eukaryota; Metazoa; Arthropoda; Insecta; Hymenoptera; Apidae.